GACGAACGCUGGCGGCGUGCUUAACACAUGCAAGUCGAACGGUAAGGCCCUUCGGGGUACACGAGUGGCGAACGGGUGAGUAACACGUGGGUGAUCUGCCCUGCACUUCGGGAUAAGCCUGGGAAACUGGGUCUAAUAACGGAUAGCACCACUGCCUGCAUGGGUGGUGGUGGAAAGCUUUUGCGGUGUGGGAUGGGCCCGCGGCCUAUCAGCUUGUUGGUGGGGUGAUGGCCUACCAAGGCGACGACGGGUAGCCGGCCUGAGAGGGUGACCGGCCACACUGGGACUGAGAUACGGCCCAGACUCCUACGGGAGGCAGCAGUGGGGAAUAUUGCACAAUGGGCGCAAGCCUGAUGCAGCGACGCCGCGUGAGGGAUGACGGCCUUCGGGUUGUAAACCUCUUUCAGCACCGACGAAGCGCAAGUGACGGUAGGUGCAGAAGAAGGACCGGCCAACUACGUGCCAGCAGCCGCGGUAA
Molecule: ribosomal RNA, 478 nt
Filed under: uncultured bacterium
Lineage: Bacteria
Description: partial 16S ribosomal RNA
Rfam family: Bacterial small subunit ribosomal RNA
Source: RNAcentral